GUUCCUAUCUUUGAUUCAUUCACUGUGAUAUAAUGGCUCCAAUGCCCUGUUUCUUGUUUCUUCUUCCUAAUACAUUUUGUUUUUUUUAAAAAAAAAAGCAAACUUAAAUACAAAAAGCCACUAAAAUUGCUAGCUCCAAUUAAGGUACCUGCUAUAGUUACUUGUGUUGUUCAAUUCAGCUUCUUUUUUUGUUUGAUUCAAACUUGUAUGUUAACAACAAUUCAUGCAUAUUAGAGAAAGUUCGCGCAAAGAUCGAAGCUUUCAUAGUGUUUAUUGAGGAUCUUCCCAGCAUUUACUGUUUGUGUAUAUUUAUAUCUUGAAAUAUGAAUCACAUGUGAGGGGCUAGUAACUUUCAAGUAACCCCAAGGUACCAAUUCUUUUGCAAGUGCUUCCCUUGAUCACACAGCAAAGGUGUGAGUGUGAGUCUGACGAGAUAUGGUUCUAUGUAUGCUGUUGACUGCAAUUUUAUGCUGGAUUACUCAAAGGCUUAUUGUAUGAUUAUUGGUGGUGGGGAUAAGGCUUAUAUGACUUCCAGCCUUUAAUUCUAUUGAAGACUCGCCUUGUUCUUCCCACUCCAAUUGAGUUGGAACUUGGAAUGUCAAAGGAAUCAAAUGAGGCCGCUCAUUAUAUUUUUGGCUCUUGUUCUCUAAUCAUGACUGAUAAGAACGUUAUCUCUUAAUCCUUUAAGUUCCUGAGGAUAUAUAGACCUCAUUGUCCUCAUCUUAUAAACCCUCUUCUAGAAAACACUAUAUCACUCUUUCAAACCUCGGUUCCUUUUUCUCAUACUAUUGAAUUCAAUUACUCCCUUAAAUUACAUAUUGUGCUCAUGAACCUAAACUUUCAAAUAACUUGAUACCUGCCCAUAAGCUUACAAAAGAUUAAAAUUCUAAGAUCACCGUUUUCCUGCAGACUGUCUUUCAAAAUCUUGCCUCAAGGAAGACAAGUGGAGUUGCUAAAGAUCAAGGAUAAUUGUACUAUCUUAUUGAUGAAAAAAUUGAAGAGUGUUCUGUUGAGGAGGAGCUUGUUGAGUCUUUUGGAUAGUGUUGAAAAGUCUCACAUCGACUAGAAAUAUGACCAAGAUAGCCCUUAUAUAUUGGAAGACAAUCCUCAACUCUUGACUCUCAAAGCUUCGGGUGUCUUGCCUCCGUCCAUGUCCAGAAACAGCAUCACAACAAACUUGAGUCUCUUGCAGUUAACUGUGUUUUCCUGGGUAUGAAAUUAUAGAGCUUGAAUGAGAUUAUAUGUUACAGAAAAGAAUGUUUUAGCAGAUUUUUCAGUGUGUAUCAAUGGAAGCAUAGUGUUACUUUCAUGUGUUUAUUCUUGAUUGGUAAACUGGACAAAUGCAUUCAGUUGUUGGUCAAAAGGUAAAUUUUGUAUAGGUUCCAUAUUUGUGACAGUCAACCCAUGUUUGUAUAGGCUCCACAGUAUUGAAACUUCUAAUUCAGUUCUGUUAAGUAGAAGAACUAGGACCUUUUAGUUAAAGUUAGUUGUUAGCAAGCUUUUCAUUGUGUUAGUUUUUUGUUAUUGAUUCAGGGUUUUAGUCAAAGCUAUACAGACAGAUAAAUUCUAAUCCUAUUUGCAAUCACUUAGUUCACUCAAUAAUGAAUUCAUUUCUUCAUUCUUUUCUUUAACUUCUACAUGGUAUCAGAAGUUUUUUCAUGAAGUUUCCACAUCUCUGAUUCUUUCAUCAUCUUCUACCUUUCUCGAGUUCUUUCUUUCUUGAUUCCUCGUGUUAGAUUACUCCAUCCCUUUGUUUCUUCAUCAAUCCGAUGGAUCCCAUUUCAAAUUGGUUAGUCAGCCACUCAGCGGAUCCAAUUACCACACAUGGAGUAGAGCGGUGAAGGUGUAACACAACAAAAAAGGUCCAUUUGAUAUGACUGCCUUUACGGCACCCUAGCUGCUUCCAGAGAUAUGGGGAUUGUUAUGCAUUGUUGAAUUGGAGAAAGGGGCAAAAUUUAGUGUUCCUGUGGAGUGGGGACAGUUCCUAAGUACCAAAAAAGUUGGUUCUUUGAGAUACUAUUGGCAAUAUACAAUUGCUUUUCAAAAUUUCUUGGCCAAACUAUUCUUAAAUGAUUAUUGUCUGCCUGUAAGGGUACUGACUACAGCCAAUUUUGCUUUUAGUUUUUGCAAGAGACUCUUGAAGAAUACGUCUACAAUAUAGACUUAGAAAGCGAGUUCCUGCUAAUGGCCUUUUGACUCCUAAGAUUUUUGUUUUUUAUGAUACUAUACAAUGAUAUAUUUUCAAUGUCAAUGAUGCUUUAAGAAGCCAACCCUAAGACUGAAGUUAGUUUCAUCAUCAUUUAAGCCUUUUCCCACUAUGUGGAGUAGGCUACAUGAAUCAGUUUAUCUCAUAAUGCCCAUUCAUAUAUUUAGUUCACAGAUAGAUUAUUUACCUUUAAAUCCCUAUUUAUGAUAUGGCCUAUUGUUUUCCUGGGUCACUAUCCCUAUAUUAAUUGAAGAGAUGAAUGAGUAUAGGGAGUGAGUAUUAGACCAAAGACUACGCCAUAAAAGAGGAGGCUGACUCUACUAUCCAGUAGUAUCUAAUGUAUUUUCAUAAAUGACAAUGAACAUGAAACAAAGAGGUAUACUGAUGACAUGAGAACAACAUUUUAAAAGAAAUAUUGACGAAUCACACAGGUUAAUGUUCAUGAACAACUGUCAAUUUUCCAUAUCUUUGAUGUACUUUUUCAUUCUUCCUUUGUUGUUUAUGAACCUCCAACUUUAUGCUUCUUUUUUCUUUAGUUCAAACAAUUCCUCUUUUAAUUUGUAACCUGUAUUUUACUUUGCCUUGUGUUAUGCUCUGCGGCAAGACUGAAGAGUGGCACGUUUUGCAGUCAUAGCAAAAGUAGCUAGUCCAGAAAGCCCUUUUACUCUACACAACCUGAUUAAAAGUAAAAAAAAAUACUAAGCAGGAGUUAAUGUCCUGCUGUCAGUAGAUUUAUUUAUGUGUGUACUCAUGUGACAUGGUUGCAUAAGUAGGACCUUUCUGAACUUGCACAUUCCAUGCUUUGAUCAGAAGUUUAAAUUUACACUGCCUGAUUUGCAAAUAACCUUAACAAAUGAUUCUGAGUUACUGCAUUACAUUCCAUUCAAAUAGUCAUUUUCUAGAUAGGCUUUUGGAUUCAAAUGAAAAUUCAGUACACAACAUUACACUCCACGGAUAUAACCCCUGAAACUCUGCAAAUUCUAGUACAUAGGAGAACGUUACUAUCUCAGCAUUUUUUCUUGGUUUGUCUCCUUUUGCCCACCCCAGCCUUGUCUUUUUCUUUAGAUUUAAUGUAUUUGUGUAUUUUUAUUUUGCACACUCAAUUGCAGGGAGAAAUAUGUUAUUUCUUUAUGUAUAUUCCAGAGUGACCCCUGCAGUUCCUGGUACGGUUAGUUUACUCUUUUGAAUCAUUUUAUCUCCUUUUAUUAAGGGAAAACAAAUGAAGGGGAAAUAAAAUCGAACAAUGAAAAGGGUUGUCUUAUGGACAUCUUACACAAAUGGUUCAUCAGGUUUAGUUUAUUUUAUUUUUUGUCAAGGUUUUUUAUUUGUCUUAAAUAUUCUCCAUGAGAUGUAAUUCCGUUUGAGCUGAAACGUCAUGAGAGGACUAAGUCACUUAGGAGAGUUUUUCAUUAGCAAAACUCAAACUAUAGUUAUAACCUGAUUAGGAGGAAUCAAGCACUUGUUGGUGUUGAGCACUUGUUGGUGUUGAUGUUUGAUUUGUUGUUUUUUUUUUCUUUUUGGUCCAAGAUUAUUUGUAUUUGUAAAUGCUCUACAACUCUUGGCAGGUUGUCAGUGGGCCAGAAGCAGAUAAUCACAGGGACCAGCUGCCUCAAAACGGCCUUUGUUUUUAUUUUUGUAGUUGUAAUGAAUCUCUAUAAUACAAGAGUAUAUUGUGUAGAAUAAUUGUAGCUUUGCAGAAGUAUUAAUUUUUA
Long non-coding RNA from Lotus japonicus, 3918 nucleotides. RefSeq lists it as uncharacterized. The transcript has 4 exons. NCBI's taxonomy places the organism in Eukaryota, Viridiplantae, Streptophyta, Magnoliopsida, Fabales, Fabaceae. The record is from RefSeq and is a predicted model, not a curated record.